CCUGAUUCUGAUUGUUCUGAAAUUUUUAGGGUUUGUGCAGAAUCACUUGGGUGUCUCAAUUAGGGUUUCCUAUUGGAUGAAAUAAUACAAUAAAUAAUAGUUUUGAUGAGGGUUGUUACAUUCUCCCCACCUUAAUAAAAAUCUCGUCCUCGAGAUUUGGUUCGGGCAUGGGCUGCUUGCUGCUGUUGCUGAGGCUGCUGUUGGUUUGUGCAGAAUCACUUGGGUGUCUCAAUUAG
RNAcentral lists this long non-coding RNA (236 nucleotides) under Helianthus annuus (common sunflower). RNAcentral's name for it is "hypothetical non coding rna". The record is from RNAcentral. Lineage: Eukaryota; Viridiplantae; Streptophyta; Magnoliopsida; Asterales; Asteraceae.